CCUACGGGGUGCACCAGUGGGGAAUAUUGCACAAUGGGCGCAAGCCUGAUGCAGCCAUGCCGCGUGUAUGAAGAAGGCCUUCGGGUUGUAAAGUACUUUCAGCGGGGAGGAAGGUGUUGAGGUUAAUAACCUCAGCAAUUGACGUUAUCCGCAGAAGAAGCACCGGCUAACUCCGUGCCAGCAGCCGCGGUAAUACGGAGGGUGCAAGCGUUAAUCGGAAUUACUGGGCGUAAAGCGCACGCAGGCGGUCUGUCAAGUCGGAUGUGAAAUCCCCGGGCUCAACCUGGGAACUGCAUUCGAAACUGGCAGGCUAGAGUCUUGUAGUGGGGGGUAGAAUUCCAGGUGUGGCGGUGAAAUGCGUAGAGAUCUGGAGGAAUACCGGUGGCGAAGGCGGCCCCCUGGACCAAGACUGACGCUCAGGUGCGAAAGCGUGGGGAGCAAACAGGAUUAGAUACCCUUGUAGUC
Molecule: ribosomal RNA, 465 nt
Filed under: uncultured bacterium
Lineage: Bacteria
Description: bacterial SSU rRNA
Rfam family: Bacterial small subunit ribosomal RNA
Source: RNAcentral